AAAAGCUCGUAGUUGGAUCUCAGCUCCGGCCGGACGGUCCGCCUACCGGUGGUUACUGUUCGCUGCCGAGCGUUCAGGGGGCUUCGUCCUAUGAUCUUCACCGGUUGUCGGUCGGGGCCCCCACGUUUACUUUGAAAAAAUUAGAGUGCUCAAAGCAGGCGCGACGCCUGAAUAAUUGUGCAUGGAAUAAUGGAAUAGGACCUCGGUUCUAUUUUGUUGGUUUUCGGAACACGAGGUAAUGAUUAAGAGGGACAGACGGGGGCAUUCGUAUUGCGACGCUAGAGGUGAAAUUCUUGGACCGUCGCAAGACGAACUACUGCGAAAGCAUUUGCCAAGAAUGUUUCCAUUAAUCAAGAACGAAAGUUAGAGGUUCGAAGGCGAUCAGAUACCGCCCUAGUUCUAACCAUAAACGAUGCCAGCCAGCGAUCCGGCUGUGUUCCUCAAAUGACACGCCGGGCAGCUUCCGGGAAACCAAAGCUUUUGGGUUCCGGGGGAAGUAUGGUUGCAAAGCUGAAACUUAAAGGAAUUGACGGAAGGGCACCACCAGAAAUGGAGCCUGCGGCUUAAUUUGACUCAACACGGGAAAACUUACCCGGCCCGGACACAGGAAGGAUUGACAGAUUAAGAGCUCUUUCUUGAUUCUGUGGGUGGUGGUGCAUGGCCGUUCUUAGUUGGUGGGGCGACUUGUCUGGUUAAUUCCGAUAACGAACGAGACUCUAGCCUACUAAAUAGACGUUCCCAUCCUCUUUCGUGGGACGUUCUUCUUAGAGGGACAAGCGGCGUUUAGCCGCACGAGACAGAGCAAUAACAGGUCUGGGAUGCCCUUAGAUGUCCGGGGCCGCACGCGCGCUACAUUGAAGGAAUCAGCGUGUGCUUUCCCUGUCCGAAAGGACUGGGUAACCCGUUGAACCUCCUUCGUGCUGGGGAUUGGAAUGUGUAAUUGCUUCCAUGAACGAGGAAUUCCCAGUAAGCACGAGUCAUCAGCUCGUGUUGAUUACGUCCCUGCCCUUUGUCCACACCGCCCGUCGCUACUACCGAUUGAAUGAUUUAGUGAGGUCUUCGGACUGGCGCUCGGAUUGGCCUUCGCGGUCGAGCCGGUGUGCCGGAAAGAUGACCAAACUUGAUCAUUUAGAGGAAGUAAAAGUCGUAACAAGGUUUU
This 1159-nucleotide ribosomal RNA is filed under the name Cyrtophora cylindroides. Its description in RNAcentral is "SSU rRNA". It matches the Rfam family "Eukaryotic small subunit ribosomal RNA", at positions 622 to 1803 of the family's 1831-position model. The record is from RNAcentral. Lineage: Eukaryota; Metazoa; Arthropoda; Arachnida; Araneae; Araneidae.